UACUUUGGUCACGCUACAAACUAGACACCGAACGCCAGCUAAAUUAUACAUUGAUUUUGAAAAUUAUGGUAAAAUUCUAAAUAAUUUCCCCAUUUAAACGUAUUAGUGGACCGUACAAUUGGAAUAAAAUUGAUAUUAGAUUGAUUGUACGCCAGCUGGGUGAAGCGGAACUGCAUAUUAUUGGUGUGGCGACGUUCGACGCAUAAAAGCAAAAACGAGCAAAAGCACGCGCAGGCCGACGUCUGUCACAUCAGCUGCUGCUGCUGCUGCCGCUGCCAGGAUCUCCCCGAACCGACAUCUCCGGCCGUAAGGACCACCGUAGUGUCCGUGUCCGAUUCCAGAGCCGAGUUCUCUCCAGCAGCCGGUGUUUCUUCGUGUGAAGUGCCGUGAAGUUGUAAAACUCACAUACAUACUUGGGUACAAACGUUCAUAAACGCGAGUAUUCACAUAUCUACGCACGUAUUGUUAUGUAGGCUGUGCGUAUAUAUGCGCUAUAUGUAUCCCCCGAUGUCCUGUGCAUCCCGUGAAACUGUCAAGUCGGAAGGUUGGGCGAAAAAUCGCAACUACUGCCUAUCAAAAAACUCAAAAACUCCCCUGGAAUAGUCUUAAUUUAUUGUAACCCCACCGAACUGCAUACUGUGUACUGUGUCCUAUAAACUUUUGGUUAUUUCUCACCCCCGAAACAGUUAACCACCUUGACGCUAUAGUAAACCUGGUCUCUAUAAAACUCAGCGAUCUUAAAAAUAACAAUCAGAAGUCUCGCUGGCCUGCUGGGGAGGACACAGGCGGAAUAAAUCUGGAAAUCACAUCACAAUAAGUCAUGCCACGGGGUAAACGCCGAGCUGCAGAUAUCGGUGACAACAUGGAUGGUCAGUCGAAGAGAGCCCGCACCAGCUACACCAGCAUACCAACACAACAGAGCAGCAGACGCCAUAUCAGAGCAGAAGAUGGAUUCAGCCAAAAGCGAUGUCUGACAUGGUUCCAAGAAUACACUACUCCCGACGAACCAGAGACACUGGGUCCCGACGGUAUGGAGAAAUUCUGCGAGGAUAUCGGCGUGGAGCCCGAGAACAUUGUGAUGCUGGUGCUGGCCUACAAAAUGGGUGCCACCCAGAUGGGCUUCUUUAGUCAGCAAGAGUGGCUGAAGGGUCUCACAGAUCUCGAGUGUGACUCGGCAGCGAAAAUGGUUGUGAAACUGGACUAUCUGCGCAGCAUACUCAAUGAUCCCAACUCCUUCAAAAGCAUCUACAGAUACGCCUACGAUUUUGCCAAGGAUUCUGAUCAACGAAGUAUGGACAUUCUUACAGCCAAGGCCAUGCUGCAGCUGUUACUUGGCAAGCACUGGCCACUAUAUCCACAGUUCGCACAGUUUCUAGAGCAAUCAAAGUACAAGGUGAUCAACAAGGAUCAGUGGUGUAAUAUUCUAGAGUUUUCGCGCACCAUCUGCAUUGAUUUGUCCAACUACGAUAUAGAUGGGGCAUGGCCUGUCAUGUUGGAUGAGUUUGUGGAGUGGCUGCGGUUGCAGCGGAGUCUGGCGAACUCAAGUCCCGGAUCCAGCUGAGAGAUGCUGUAUCAAGUCGCCUAUUUCUAGUUCAACUUUGGGAGCGAGAUCAGUGCGGAGGAGUAGGAGCAAAUGGAAGAAGUUGGGGAAUCCAUUGAAGAAUUGAAAGAAAGAAAGAAA
Molecule: RNA transcript, 1681 nt
Organism: Drosophila ananassae
Lineage: Eukaryota; Metazoa; Arthropoda; Insecta; Diptera; Drosophilidae
Gene: SCCRO4
Gene name: DCN1-like protein 4
Exons: 7
Source: RefSeq, a predicted model, not a curated record